Molecule: transfer RNA, 74 nt
Filed under: Ilumatobacteraceae bacterium
Lineage: Bacteria; Bacillati; Actinomycetota; Acidimicrobiia; Acidimicrobiales; Ilumatobacteraceae
Description: tRNA-Ile
Rfam family: tRNA
About the family: Transfer RNA (tRNA) molecules are approximately 80 nucleotides in length. Their secondary structure includes four short double-helical elements and three loops (D, anti-codon, and T loops). Further hydrogen bonds mediate the characteristic L-shaped molecular structure. tRNAs have two regions of fundamental functional importance: the anti-codon, which is responsible for specific mRNA codon recognition, and the 3' end, to which the tRNAs corresponding amino acid is attached (by aminoacyl-tRNA synthetases). tRNAs cope with the degeneracy of the genetic code in two manners: having more than one tRNA (with a specific anti-codon) for a particular amino acid; and 'wobble' base-pairing, i.e. permitting non-standard base-pairing at the 3rd anti-codon position.
Source: RNAcentral
GGGGCGGUAGCUCAGGUGGUUAGAGCAGCGGACUCAUAAUCCGUCGGUCGUGGGUUCGAGCCCCACCCGCCCCA